RNAcentral lists this ribosomal RNA (429 nucleotides) under Pseudomonadota bacterium. RNAcentral's name for it is "Proteobacteria bacterium partial 16S ribosomal RNA". It matches the Rfam family "Bacterial small subunit ribosomal RNA", at positions 355 to 776 of the family's 1533-position model. Lineage: Bacteria; Pseudomonadati; Pseudomonadota. The record is from RNAcentral.
UGGGGAAUAUUGGACAAUGGGCGAAAGCCUGAUCCAGCCAUGCCGCGUGUGUGAAGAAGGUCUUCGGAUUGUAAAGCACUUUAAGUUGGGAGGAAGGGCAGUAAGCGAAUACCUUGCUGUUUUGACGUUACCGACAGAAUAAGCACCGGCUAACUCUGUGCCAGCAGCCGCGGUAAUACAGAGGGUGCAAGCGUUAAUCGGAAUUACUGGGCGUAAAGCGCGCGUAGGUGGUUCGUUAAGUUGAAUGUGAAAGCCCCGGGCUCAACCUGGGAACUGCAUCCAAAACUGGCGAGCUAGAGUAGGGCAGAGGGUGGUGGAAUUUCCUGUGUAGCGGUGAAAUGCGUAGAUAUAGGAAGGAACGCCAGUGGCGAAGGCGACCACCUGGGCUCAUACUGACACUGAGGUGCGAAAGAGUGGGGAGCAAACAGG